RNAcentral lists this ribosomal RNA (461 nucleotides) under uncultured bacterium. RNAcentral describes it as "partial 16S ribosomal RNA". It matches the Rfam family "Bacterial small subunit ribosomal RNA", at positions 338 to 795 of the family's 1533-position model. The record is from RNAcentral.
CCUACGGGAGGCAGCAGUGAGGAAUAUUGGUCAAUGGGCUUACGCCUGAACCAGCCAAGUCGCGUGAGGGAAUGCUGCCCUAUGGGUUGUAAACCUCUUUUGUCAGGGAGCAAAGCCGGCUACGUGUAGCCGGACUGAGAGUACCUGAAGAAAAAGCAUCGGCUAACCCCGGCCCACCAGCCGCGGUAAUAGGUAGGGGCCAAGGGUUACCCGAUUUUAUUGGGGGUAAAGGGAUCGUAGGCGGUUCGUCGCGUCCGGUGUGAAAGUCCAUCGCUUAACGGUGGCUCCGCGCCGGGUACGGGCGGGCUUGAGUGCGGUAGGGGAGACUGGAAGUCCCGGUGUAACGGUGGAAUGUGUAGAUAUCGGGAAGAACACCAAUGGUGAAGGCAGGUCUCUGGGCCGUUACUGACGCUGAGGAGCGAAAGCGUGGGGAGCGAACAGGAUUAGAUACCCCAGUAGUC